Molecule: ribosomal RNA, 564 nt
Filed under: Triticum aestivum (bread wheat)
Lineage: Eukaryota; Viridiplantae; Streptophyta; Magnoliopsida; Poales; Poaceae
Description: partial small subunit ribosomal RNA
Source: RNAcentral
AUGUGUGAGGUCGCUGCUUCUAUUGGUCCUAUUCUGGAAAUUGAUAUGUCCACCAUUAUGAAAGAGAAAAUCAGGGCUGAGGAGGGAGUCAGAGAUUUUGAAAAAAUCCCUCAUCAAACUGAGAUCACUGACAAGGACCUGAUGAUAUACAGAAUCAACAUUGAGUUGGAGGAAGUAGUUGAACAAGGGUGGUAUGAUGAGAAGAGAAAGUUUGAGACCAUGGGACCUGAACUUGAGGGAAAUGAUAUGGGAGGCCAGAAAAAAAUUAAAAUUGAUGAGUCGGGAGUUAAUGGAAAUAAAGAAAACAUCUUCUUGGGAAGUAUAGGACUCAAACAAUUUGAGGAGAUGCAACAGAAAAAUGAUGAGAUUUUGAAGAUGCAGAAAGAUUAUAUGUUAGAGGUGGGCUUGAGGAAGAAAGUAGAGGUGGAGCUAGAUAAAGCCCUUAAAAAACUUCAAGAGGUGGAAGAAAUCAGAUGCAGAAAUGAUGCUUGGAACACUACAAGAAAUAUGUCAACUAGUGACCUUCUGUCAGUGACCCUGGAAGAAUUGGUCAUAGAUCUAUGA